UGGGGGAUAUUGCACAAUGGGCGAAAGCCUGAUGCAGCGACGCCGCGUGGGGGAUGAAGGCCUUCGGGUUGUAAACUUCUUUUGCUCUGAACAAGGCAUGCCUUUGGGGUGUGUUGAGUGUAGGGGUUGAUUAGCGCCGGCUAACUACGUGCCAGCAGCCGCGGUAAUACGUAGGGCGCGAGCGUUGUCCGGAAUUAUUGGGCGUAAAGGGCUUGUAGGUGGCUGGUUGCGUCUGUCGUGAAAGCUCAUGGCUUAACUGUGGGUUUGCGGGUGGUACGGGCUGGCUUGGGUGCAGGAGGGGGGGCUGGAAUUCCCGGUGUAGCGGUGGAAUUCGCAGAUAUCAGGAGGAAUACCGGUGGCGAAGGCGGGUCUCUGGGCUGUUACUGAAGCUUGGGAGCGAAAGCGUGGGGAGCGAACAGG
This 420-nucleotide ribosomal RNA is filed under the name Fusobacteriota bacterium. Its description in RNAcentral is "Fusobacteria bacterium partial 16S ribosomal RNA". It matches the Rfam family "Bacterial small subunit ribosomal RNA", at positions 355 to 776 of the family's 1533-position model. Lineage: Bacteria; Fusobacteriati; Fusobacteriota. The record is from RNAcentral.